UAGUGCAAUAUUGCUAAUAGGGUUU
This 25-nucleotide microRNA is filed under the name Danio rerio (zebrafish). RNAcentral's name for it is "Dre-Mir-130-P3b1_3p (mature (guide))". The record is from RNAcentral. Lineage: Eukaryota; Metazoa; Chordata; Actinopteri; Cypriniformes; Danionidae.